UGGGGAAUAUUGCACAAUGGGCGCAAGCCUGAUGCAGCCAUGCCGCGUGUAUGAAGAAGGCCUUCGGGUUGUAAAGUACUUUCAGCGGGGAGGAAGGUGUUGUGGUUAAUAACCGCAGCAAUUGACGUUACCCGCAGAAGAAGCACCGGCUAACUCCGUGCCAGCAGCCGCGGUAAUACGGAGGGUGCAAGCGUUAAUCGGAAUUACUGGGCGUAAAGCGCACGCAGGCGGUCUGUCAAGUCGGAUGUGAAAUCCCCGGGCUCAACCUGGGAACUGCAUUCGAAACUGGCAGGCUAGAGUCUUGUAGAGGGGGGUAGAAUUCCAGGUGUAGCGGUGAAAUGCGUAGAGAUCUGGAGGAAUACCGGUGGCGAAGGCGGCCCCCUGGACAAAGACUGACGCUCAGGUGCGAAAGCGUGGGGAGCAAACAGG
Molecule: ribosomal RNA, 429 nt
Filed under: Acidobacteriota bacterium
Lineage: Bacteria; Pseudomonadati; Acidobacteriota
Also listed under: 3 other names
Description: Acidobacteria bacterium partial 16S ribosomal RNA
Rfam family: Bacterial small subunit ribosomal RNA
Source: RNAcentral